RNAcentral lists this unclassified non-coding RNA (300 nucleotides) under Zea mays. RNAcentral describes it as "misc RNA Zm00001eb198630". The record is from RNAcentral. Lineage: Eukaryota; Viridiplantae; Streptophyta; Magnoliopsida; Poales; Poaceae.
CUGCUCCCGUGCUCGCCUGCUCGGUGCUCCGGACUCCGCCGGCUAGACAACGGCGGGUCGGUGGUGCUCCACUGCUUCGGGCUCCGGGCGAGCGCGCUCGGCGGCUCGGGCUGCUGCGGCCUGCGGCUCCUGCGCAGCUGCGCCUGCGCUCCGCGGCUGCUGGCUGGCACCUCCGCGCGUGGCGGACUGGCGGUGGCGGGCGAGCGAGCCUGGCGGAGUGGCGGUGGCGUCCUGGCGCUGGCGGGCCACGGGCGAGUGUGCAGCGCGCUAGUCUGGAGAGGUGCCGAGGCGGCCAGGUGA